AGGAGACAUUUCACUUGUUAAAUCAUACACUCCUUUCUCCAGAUUGAGGUAUCAAGGUUUAGUAUCACAGAGAACAAUGAACUUCGUCCAGCUAUUGUUGCUUCUUGUUCUGGUUAUACUGACCGUCUACGUCAUGGGAUCAGAUGCCUCCCCCUGGAGAUGGUACAGGAAAUGGUCUGAUUCCAGUAGCGGCGGUUCCUGGAGCUAUGGUCGUUGAUAACAAGAUGGCAGCCAAAAGGAAAUGAUUCGUCGAAAUAUUUUAUUCACCUUAGUUAUUUGUUUUUGUGUUUUAUGAAUACGGAAUUUUAUGGAACAAACUGUAAUAUAAUUUUGCAUUUGCGUUCUACAUUUUUUAUUUCAA
This is a long non-coding RNA of Saccostrea cuccullata (small rock oyster), 361 nucleotides long. RefSeq lists it as uncharacterized. The transcript is spliced from 3 exons. Lineage: Eukaryota; Metazoa; Mollusca; Bivalvia; Ostreida; Ostreidae. The record is from RefSeq and is a predicted model, not a curated record.